UACGGAGGGUGCAAGCGUUGUUCGGAAUCACUGGGCGUAAAGGGCGUGUAGGCGGCCCGCUAAGUCUGAUGUGAAAGCCCGGGGCUCACCCCCGGAAGGGCAUUGGAAACUGGCGGACUCGAGUCCCGGAGAGGAGGGUGGAAUUCCCGGUGUAGCGGUGAAAUGCGUAGAUAUCAGGAAGAACACCCGUGGCGAAGGCGGCUCUCUGGGACGGUACUGACGCUGAGACGCGAAAGCGUGGGGAGCGAACAGG
This 253-nucleotide ribosomal RNA is filed under the name uncultured bacterium. RNAcentral's name for it is "partial 16S ribosomal RNA". It matches the Rfam family "Bacterial small subunit ribosomal RNA", at positions 524 to 776 of the family's 1533-position model. The record is from RNAcentral.